Molecule: long non-coding RNA, 1279 nt
Filed under: Daphnia magna
Lineage: Eukaryota; Metazoa; Arthropoda; Branchiopoda; Diplostraca; Daphniidae
Description: uncharacterized LOC116926449, transcript variant X2
Source: RNAcentral
UUUUUCCACUGGUCUUAUAGUUUUUGAACUUAAGUACUUAACUUAUUGCUGGAAGGUAGAUCGUCACUAGAUGGCAGUGCAGGAUCUACCAUUGUCAAUCAAUUGCAUAGUCAGUAGGUGUCAAAUGGCGUUACGGUAUUCACAACGUAAUGGAUAAUGGAAAUGUUUUUGUUUAUUAGAUAAUUUUCAUUCAAGAUGAAUGUUAAAAUCCACUUGAUUGCGACAGGACCAGGAUGUAAAUGGGACUAUGUCAUCACCUUUCAAAUUAUUAUUAGAGUACAAUCAAUUGAAUACCAUCAAUGAAUACCAUCAAUUUCCCAUAAGGAAAGGAGAAGAACCAUAGUCUGGCUUGUACCAAACUGGAUUGUACCAAACUGUGAAAGAAAUCAUGUGUCUGUUACUGAAACUGGCUCUCUCUGUUUGUGACAUCAGACCUUACAGUGUGUCACUCUGAAGCAGAGCUCCUGAAAUGAGAUUGAACGUUUUGAACCAUCUCAUGCCAAAGCUCAAGUUAAGCUCUGUUGGUUUUUCCUUCCUGUAAACCGAUGAUUACAACUAAUGAAAUGCAACUUAUUGUGUUGUUUGCAGAAGCAUUUAAAAGAGGUGGCUUUUUGGUUAGAGUUUCUUCGACAUCCGAUGCCAUGCAGAUCCUGCCGAGCGAUCUGAAUAUAUUUUAGCGCUCAGUCGGAACGGUGUUCACUUCCUCGACUAAUAGGCUAUAUCAAUUUGCAAAGUCAAAGCGAAAGAGGGUCUCCUUUUCAUGGAAUCAUCCGCAUCCAAUCAUAUCAAACGCACGAGACAUCCGCCUUGUCUGGCAACUUACCAUCCAGCUACGCAUCUUUCAACAGAGUGUUCAAGAGGAAAGUAAUUGACUAAAUGCCGACUCGAUGAUUUCCGUGCAAGAUGAGUGUGAAUCCAAGGAUAUUUGGUGAGCAGAAUGCAACGGACUAUGUUAUGUUUAACCAUUAGCUAAAUUCAAUGAAUACUGUCAAUUCCCCAGAACGAGAGGUUAAUAAUCAUACUGAAUCAAACGAGGUACAUAUUUGAACGAGAUUUUAAAAUGAUAACGAUUGGAAGCCCAUGAGGAAAUUUCGAAGAAUGGUACCUUCACGUUACCUUGAGGCGCUGAUUCGUCUCGAAGAUAAAAUGUAUAAAAAAUAAGUUAUUUUUAUAAAUUGAAGUGCAUAUCUGGGCUCCCUUCUUUUCUGUGGCCCCGUUUCCCCUUGACUCGUAAUAAGCCCGUAGGGGGUCAUGCCCCUACUGUGAUCAGCAGUAAAGG